Molecule: unclassified non-coding RNA, 1970 nt
Filed under: Hevea brasiliensis (rubber tree)
Lineage: Eukaryota; Viridiplantae; Streptophyta; Magnoliopsida; Malpighiales; Euphorbiaceae
Source: RNAcentral
UGAAUAUUCAAUAUAUAAAAUCACACUCAAAUUCAAAUUCAUUCCAAAUAUUAUUUUUAAAUCUAAAUUUAUUUGGUAACUGAUUAUAUACUAUUCAUACCCAUAAAAUUUAAUCAGAUCAAAUAUGCAUAAAAAUAUGAGCCGUUACUGUCCUGGAAUAAGAAGAAUAAGCUUUUAAAUUGUGCUAGUUUUUAAUGCAAUUUAAAUCUAAUAAAAAUAAUUUAUUUAAUUUACAUGAAAUGCAUAGUUUCUUAGAGGAAAAAAAAAUCAUUAAUUUGAUCAGCCAUACUCCUAAAUGUAGCGUAAUAAAAUAUUUGAAUAUGGAGGCAAGAUCAGCUACUAUAACUAAAGAAUAGAUUGAUGUUUGAUGAUAACAGCCAGUUGACAUGAGCACAUGGGAAGAGAAAAAGAACACAGAAGUUCACAUGAGCCAAUCUGAGCUAAAUCAAGAUUCCCACCUAAUGAAACAAUUUGAUAAUCUUUUUUUGGUCCAUGUCAUUGUCAUGUAGCACAGAAGAGGUUGAGAAAUUAGGCAAGAGAUUGGUCUAUAAUUAAGCAUAAUUAACUACAAAUUCAUUUCGUAAAUUUUUUUAUAGAUAAAAUAUAUGUACACACGAAUAAGUGACAGAAAUAAACUGCUAUUAAAAUCAUCACAAAUUUAAAAGAGUUCUUAUUUUUAUAUAAUCCACACACGUACACUCUACAUACGAUAUGAAAUCUUGAAGGACUAGCUUCUAAGUACACCCAACUAACUCACGGACAUUAAUUAGGAUUACAUCUGAACACUCAACUCUCUCUUAUUUUCAAGGCACUUUUUUUUUAUUUAUAAAUAAAAUAUAUGUAAAUAAGAGUUAAUGAUAAGAAUAAAAUAUUAUUAAAAUUAUCAUAAUUUUAAUAAAAUUUUUAUUUUUCAUGGGUGAGAUUUCUAAAGACUUUUUCAAGGGUGAAUUUUCUGUAUGCAAUGCAGUUGUACUAUGAGGGAGACUGUGGACGGUUAAUUAUGGAUGACAAAAACUACACCCUCAAGAAAAUGCACUGGCAUUCCCCUUCUGAGCAUUGGAUUGAUGGAAUUCGGUUUCCUCUGGAGCUUCACCUAGUCCACGCGGGAGAAAACAACGCCACCUCUGUUGUUGCUGUCCUCUACCAGUAUGGCCGUGCUGAUCCUUUUAUUGCUAAGGUAAAAUUCACAUAUUUUAAGAUCCAAAAAACAAAAAGAUGAAAUCUUCAUUACAGUUUAUGCUUGCAGCUCAAGAACAGUUUGGAUAAGCUCGCUAAUGAGGUGAAAGUAGGUGAUCAAAACCCUCAUAUCCCCUUAGGAAUCGUAGAUAGUAAGCUCGUAGGGAAAAAAACCCGCAAAUAUUACAGAUACAUGGGUUCUCUUACCACUCCUCCAUGCACUGAGAAUGUGGUCUGGCAUAUACUUGGCAAGACGAGAACAGUAACCGAGAAGCAGGUACAAACUCUGAAAGCUCCAUUGGGCAUAGCUUACAAGGUAAAUGAAAGGCCUCUGCAGGCCCUGAAUGGAAGAAAGGUUGAACUAUUUAAAGAAUUUCAGCUACCUAAACCAGCACGUACGUGACUUAGUAAAGUUUGUGAAUUGCGUCUGAAAUCUGCAGCUAUAAAUUCUCUCCCUGUACUACUUGAACUGUUGUACUCGAGCAUAAAUAAAGGAUCAGUAUGGACAGACAGUUCAUGAAUCCUAGUAUAAUCUCUACAAUUUCUAAAUAUUCUUGAUAAUAGAUACAGAAGUAACAAAAAAAUGCAAAAAAUUUUCAUUUAUUUUUUAUUAAUCAAGCAGCUUGGAAAAUAUGUUUCAGAGAAAAGGUUCAAUGAAAGAUGAAAAAAGGAAAAGAAAAGGCCAAUAAUUGCAGUGGCUCUGUUUUUCCUAAUGAUGUGAAGAAGGAAUUACAAAAUAGUCAAAUUAGGCAACUAUGCUCAAAUUCCAGUUAGGAAUUCAGAAUCAAUUUUAU